RNAcentral lists this ribosomal RNA (428 nucleotides) under Chloroflexota bacterium. RNAcentral describes it as "Chloroflexi bacterium partial 16S ribosomal RNA". It matches the Rfam family "Bacterial small subunit ribosomal RNA", at positions 355 to 776 of the family's 1533-position model. The record is from RNAcentral. Lineage: Bacteria; Bacillati; Chloroflexota.
UGGGGAAUAUUGCACAAUGGGCGCAAGCCUGAUGCAGCCAUGCCGCGUGUGUGAAGAAGGCCUUCGGGUUGUAAAGCACUUUCAGCGGGGAGGAAGGCGAUAAGGUUAAUAACCUUGUCGAUUGACGUUACCCGCAGAAGAAGCACCGGCUAACUCCGUGCCAGCAGCCGCGGUAAUACGGAGGGUGCAAGCGUUAAUCGGAAUUACUGGGCGUAAAGCGCACGCAGGCGGUCUGUCAAGUCGGAUGUGAAAUCCCCGGGCUCAACCUGGGAACUGCUUUCGAAGCUGGCAGGCUAGGUGCUUGUAGAGGGGGGAGGAAUUCCGGGUGAAGCGGGGAAAUCCUUAGAGAAUUGGGGAAAGACCGGUGACGAAGCCGGCCCCUUGAAAAAAGAUUACCGUUCAGGUGCAAAGGGGGGGGGGGCAACAGG